AUUUAAAGUUCUGCCGCUUGGAAACGGAGACUAUCCGUGCCGUCGCCAUGUCUCGGGCCUUAGUCGAGCCGUACGAAGCUUGCAGGCAGCGCUCUUCCUGCUCAUCUUCUCAUCUGUAAUCCUUCUGGGAGCAAGUGGUUACACCUUCCUGUACCCAAACCGCCACAAACAUUGUCUUUUCAGAGCACUUAUUCCUUUGAGGAUGGUAUUGCUGAAGAUUAGUGAUUAAUUUGAUUUCUUUUUUUCCAAUAUGAUGUGAUUUAUGUUUAUCUGCUUUUAAAAGCAGAAGCCUGGCUCUUUGCGCUUUGUGUUCCAAUUAAAGCAGAACCAAAAGCUUAUAUUUUGGAUCACUACCUGCAUUUUCUGUAUUAUCCCCUCUAAUAAAGUUCCUUAAUUUCUUG
Clarias gariepinus (North African catfish) is the source of this 401-nucleotide long non-coding RNA. RefSeq lists it as uncharacterized. The record is from RefSeq and is a predicted model, not a curated record. NCBI's taxonomy places the organism in Eukaryota, Metazoa, Chordata, Actinopteri, Siluriformes, Clariidae. The transcript has 2 exons.